UGCAGUCGNACGCGAAAGUUUCCUUCGGGAAACGAGUAGAGUGGCGAAAGGGCGAGUAAUGCAUGGGUAACGUACCCCGAGCACGAGGAUAGCCGCGGGAAACUGCGGGUAAUACUCGAUGAGACCACGGUGUCAUAUGGCACAGCGGUCAAAGGGUGGGGAUCUCUUCGGAGACCUGCCGGCUUGGGAGCGGCCCAUGUCCUAUCAGCUUGUUGGUGUGGUAACGGCUCACCAAGGCAAUGACGGGUAGCGGGACUGAGAGGUUGACCCGCCGCAUUGGGACUGAGACACUGCCCAGACUCCUACGGGAGGCUGCAGUAACGAAUAUUGGACAAUGAACGAAAGUUUGAUCCAGCAAUGCCGCGUGUGGGAAGAAGCCCUUCGGGGUGUAAACCACUGUCCGGGACUACCAAGCAAUGGAGAUUAAUACCCUCCUGCGUUGAGGCGUCCCGAAGAAAGUCACGGCUAACUUCGUGCCAGCAGCCGCGGUAAGACGAAGGUGGCGAGCGUUGUUCGGAAUCACUGGGCUUAAAGAGCACGUAGGCGGACUAUCAAGCGUUUUGUGAAAUCCCUCGACUCAACCGAGGAAUUGCUUGGCGAACUGAUAGUCUUGAGGCAGGCAGGGGCAAGUGGAACUCUUGGUGGAGCGGUGGAAUGCGUAGAUAUCAAGAGGAACGCCAGANGCGAAGGCGACUUGCUGGGCCUGUCCUGACGCUCAGGUGCGAAAGCUAGGGUAGCGAACGGGAUUAGAUACCCCGGUAGUCCUAGCCCUAAACGAUGUCAACUAGAUCGAUGGUUCUCUGACGUUCUGUCGGUCGAAAUAAAAACGUUNAGUUGAC
RNAcentral lists this ribosomal RNA (839 nucleotides) under uncultured bacterium. RNAcentral's name for it is "bacterial SSU rRNA". It matches the Rfam family "Bacterial small subunit ribosomal RNA", at positions 56 to 869 of the family's 1533-position model. The record is from RNAcentral.